This is a non-coding RNA of Podarcis lilfordi (Lilford's wall lizard), 105 nucleotides long. NCBI's taxonomy places the organism in Eukaryota, Metazoa, Chordata, Lepidosauria, Squamata, Lacertidae. The record is from the annotation of a GenBank genome assembly.
AUGUUCACUUCAAGAACAUCUGUACUGAAAUUGGAAGGAUACAGAGAAGUUUAGGAAGGCCUCUGUGCUUGUAUCUCGCACUCUCCACUUGGCUGUUUUAUUUUU